UAGGGAAUCUUCCACAAUGGACGCAAGUCUGAUGGAGCAACGCCGCGUGAGUGAAGAAGGCUUUCGGAUCGUAAAGCUCUGUUGUUGGUGAAGAAGGAUAGAGGCAGUAACUGGUCUUUAUUUGACGGUAAUCAACCAGAAAGUCACGGCUAACUACGUGCCAC
RNAcentral lists this ribosomal RNA (164 nucleotides) under uncultured bacterium. Its description in RNAcentral is "partial 16S rRNA". It matches the Rfam family "Bacterial small subunit ribosomal RNA", at positions 355 to 511 of the family's 1533-position model. The record is from RNAcentral.